CAUGCAAGUCGAACGAAGCACUUCUGAAUGGAGAUUCGUCAAAGUUCAGAUUUGACUUAGUGGCGGACGGGUGAGUAAUGCAUGAGCAACCUGCCCUGCAGUGGGGGACAACAGUUGGAAACGACUGCUAAUACCGCAUGAUGUAUCUGGAAGGCAUCUUCCGGAUACCAAAGAUUUAUCGCUGUGGGAUGGGCUCAUGUCUGAUUAGUUAGUUGGUGGGGUAACGGCCUACCAAGACUGCGAUCAGUAGCCGGACUGAGAGGUUGAACGGCCACAUUGGGACUGAGAUACGGCCCAGACUCCUACGGGAGGCAGCAGUGGGGAAUAUUGGGCAAUGGGCGAAAGCCUGACCCAGCAACGCCGCGUGAAGGAAGAAGGUCUUCGGAUUGUAAACUUCUUUUAUGAGGGACGAAGGAAGUGACGGUACCUCAUGAAUAAGCCACGGCUAACUACGUGCCAGCAGCCGCGGUAAUACGUAGGUGGCAAGCGUUGUCCGGAUUUACUGGGUGUAAAGGGCGCGUAGGCGGGAUGGCAAGUCAGAUGUGAAAUCCAUGGGCUCAACCCAUGAACUGCAUUUGAAACUGUAGAUCUUGAGUGUCGGAGGGGCAAUCGGAAUUCCUAGUGUAGCGGUGAAAUGCGUAGAUAUUAGGAGGAACACCAGUGGCGAAGGCGGAUUGCUGGACGAUAACUGACGGUGAGGCGCGAAAGUGUGGGGAGCAAACAGGAUUAGAUACCCUGGUAGUCCACACUGUAAACGAUGAA
This 762-nucleotide ribosomal RNA is filed under the name uncultured bacterium. RNAcentral's name for it is "bacterial SSU rRNA". It matches the Rfam family "Bacterial small subunit ribosomal RNA", at positions 54 to 813 of the family's 1533-position model. The record is from RNAcentral.